Molecule: ribosomal RNA, 491 nt
Filed under: uncultured bacterium
Lineage: Bacteria
Description: partial 16S ribosomal RNA
Rfam family: Bacterial small subunit ribosomal RNA
Source: RNAcentral
GAUGAACGCUGGCUACAUGCUUAACACAUGCAAGUCGAGGGGAAACGCCGGGGAAGCUUGCUUCCCCCGGCUUCGACCGGCGCACGGGUGAGUAACGCGUAUCCCACCUGCCUCUGACUUAGCUAUAACCCGUCGAAAGUCGUCCUAAUACCUCAUGCUAUCUUCUGCGUGCAUCCUACGACGAUUAAAGAGUUCAUCGUGCAGUGAUGGGUAUGCGUCUGAUUAGCUUGUUGGCGGGGUAACGGCUCACCAAGGAUACGAUUAGUAGGGGUUCUGAGGGGAAGGUCCCCGAGAUUGGAACUGGGACACGGGCGAAACUCAUACGGGAGGGAGCAGUGAGGAAGAUAGGUCAAGGGGAGAGAGCCUGAACCAGCCAAGUAGCGUGCAGGAAGACGGCGUUAGGGGUGGUAAACUGCUUUUAUGCGGGGAUAAAGUGAGGGAAGUGUCCCUCAUUGCAGGUACCGGAUGAAUAAGGACCGGCUAAUUACGUG